Molecule: ribosomal RNA, 473 nt
Filed under: uncultured bacterium
Lineage: Bacteria
Description: bacterial SSU rRNA
Rfam family: Bacterial small subunit ribosomal RNA
Source: RNAcentral
ACUCCUACGGGAGGCAGCAGUGGGGGAAUAUUGCACAAUGGGCGCAAGCCUGAUGCAGCCAUGCCGCGUGUAUGAAGAAGGCCUUCGGGUUGUAAAGUACUUUCAGCAGUGAGGAAGGUGGGUAUGUUAAUAGCAUAUUCAUUUGACGUUAGCUGCAGAAGAAGCACCGGCUAACUCCGUGCCAGCAGCCGCGGUAAUACGGAGGGUGCGAGCGUUAAUCGGAAUUACUGGGCGUAAAGCGCAUGCAGGUGGUUUGUUAAGUCAGAUGUGAAAGCCCGGGGCUCAACCUCGGAAUUGCAUUUGAAACUGGCAAACUAGAGUACUGUAGAGGGGGUAGAAUUUCAGGUGUAGCGGUGAAAUGCGUAGAGAUACUGAAGGAAUACCGGUGGACGAAGGCGGCCCCCUGGACAGAUACUGACACUCAGAUGCGAAAGCGUGGGGAGCAAACAGGAUUAGAUACCCUGGUAGGCUCU